GGCUUGCUGGUCUAGUGGUAUGAUUCUCGCUUUGGGUGCGUGAGGUCACGGGUUCGAUUCCCGUGCAAGCCC
RNAcentral lists this transfer RNA (72 nucleotides) under Paramuricea clavata. It matches the Rfam family "tRNA". Rfam says of the family: Transfer RNA (tRNA) molecules are approximately 80 nucleotides in length. Their secondary structure includes four short double-helical elements and three loops (D, anti-codon, and T loops). Further hydrogen bonds mediate the characteristic L-shaped molecular structure. tRNAs have two regions of fundamental functional importance: the anti-codon, which is responsible for specific mRNA codon recognition, and the 3' end, to which the tRNAs corresponding amino acid is attached (by aminoacyl-tRNA synthetases). tRNAs cope with the degeneracy of the genetic code in two manners: having more than one tRNA (with a specific anti-codon) for a particular amino acid; and 'wobble' base-pairing, i.e. permitting non-standard base-pairing at the 3rd anti-codon position. The record is from Rfam by way of RNAcentral. Lineage: Eukaryota; Metazoa; Cnidaria; Anthozoa; Malacalcyonacea; Plexauridae.